CAAGGACGAACGCUGGCGGCAUGCCUAACACAUGCAAGUCGAACGGAGUAAUGACUUCGGUUAUUACUUAGUGGCGAACGGGUGAGUAGCACGUGAAUAAUCUGCCCUGUACGAUGGGAUAACAGCUGGAAACGGCUGCUAAUACCGUAUAUGACCACGCCGAGGCAUCUCGGAGGGUGAAAGCGCUUAAGCGGUACAGGAUGAGUUCGCGUCCAAUUAGCUAGUUGGUGAGGUAACGGCCCACCAAGGCGACGAUUGGUAGCCGACCUGAGAGGGUGAUCGGCCACACUGGAACUGAGACACGGUCCAGACUCCUACGGGAGGCAGUAGUGGGGAAUAUUGGGCAAUGGAGGAAACUUCCUUACCCAGCAAUGCCGCGUGAGUGAUGAAGGUCUUCGGAUUGUAAAGCUCUUUGAUUGGGGACGAAUAAAUGACGGUACCCAAGGAACAAGCCCCGGCUAACUAUGUGCCAGCCGCCGC
RNAcentral lists this ribosomal RNA (480 nucleotides) under uncultured bacterium. RNAcentral's name for it is "bacterial SSU rRNA". It matches the Rfam family "Bacterial small subunit ribosomal RNA", at positions 26 to 518 of the family's 1533-position model. The record is from RNAcentral.